GAACGGAUGCGCUGCCAGUUGUCAGUGUGGCUUAUGUGGCACCCAGCCAAACAGCUUAGAGUCAGAGACUUCUCCAAGGAAUUUUUAGGCACACCCACUGGGAUGACAGGUGCCUCGUGAAGCCGUUAAAAUCCUAAUCCUGACGGCGAUGACGGGGGCCGAGCGAGAUGAACGAGAGGGCUUGUGAGGACACCGCCGGGGGAGUUGACAUGCAUGGAUCUGCUCCAAGCCAAAGGAGGAGGAGAGGCAGAAGCAAUGAAAGGAGAGCAAAGGACGGUGGCAAUGCACCUUUUCAUGUCUUGUGCAUGUCUCAGGGUAUUUAGAAUACAUCCUUCAAAGGCUUAACUUCUCAGCGGAAAAACUAUGGGAGUUGUAGUUUGCAAAAGUAAUAUUUGGACAAGGAGUGGGAGAUGCAACUGAGAGGGUUCUAGCUUUUAUAGUUAGGACAGAGAACUUGAAACCAUGCCGGGAAUGUGUGCAAAAACAUGCCAGCAUUUCCAAACAGGGUGUAAUAAUAGCUCUGUACAUUCUGAUCGUGUUUUUGCUGUUGCCUUCUUUCUUUCUCUCUCUUUCUUUCUUUCUUUCAUUCCCUCUUUUUGUUGCUCAACCUUAAGCAAAUACAGACUGGAGAUCUCAGAUGACACAUGACCUUCUCGGGAAACAUCUUAGCAACUGCCGUCGGGAACCACGCUUCGGAAAUGGCAGAGCGAGUCCGACUGGUCCCGAGACGGUGUCCUGGAGCAACUUGAGUCGCUUCUGGAGUGAGAGAAUUGGCCAUCUGCAAGGACGUUGCCCAGCGGAUGCCCGGAUUUUUUUGAUGUUUUUACCAUCCUUGUGGGAGGCUUCUCUCAUGUCCCCGCAUGGAACUGGAGCUGACAGAGGGAGCUCAUCCGCGCUCUCCGUGAGUGGGAUUUGAACCUGGCAGCCUUCAGGUUCCUAUCGUUCCAAACAACCCUUAGGAAGGUGAACCCUCUCCGCAUACCUGGAUGAGUCAAAGGCCAAGGUCCGUCGAUAAGAGCGAUGUAGCCCGAGAGGAAGGUGACGAUCAGACCGUGCAUCAGCGUGAUCAACCUGACGGUCCAUUCUGGAGUGCGGCUCUUGUUCCAGGACCGGAUAGCAACGUAGAAGGAGAGCCAGAGGAGGAAGCUGCACACCACCCUGGCAACGAUGGCGAACAUCCUUUCAGCCCUGAAAGCGCAGAGAAGAACACAGCUGUUGUAUGAAUUAACGGAACCAGUUAAAGAAAGAACAACGCAGUGCAUGGGCAUUUUGCUCCUGGAACUUAGAGGAUUUUGCGUGGACUACAACUCCCAGUGUCCUGUAGAUGAUAUGGCUAGUGGGAUACGGUCAUGUUGGCUGGAGAAUAAUGUUGGCAGAAGCUGGGGCUAACAAUGGGAGCUCACCCCGCUCCCUGGAUACAAACUACCAACCUUUUGGUCAGCAAUUUCAGCAGCUCAGUGGUUUAACCCACUGAAAAUGGGAAACUGACCAGUCAAGUUUCCAAAACAAGGACCAGGGCCUCAGUUGUCACAAUGGUUCUCAAACUUUGGAAACUUUGUUUUAGGGCUUCAGCUCUCAGAAUUCCUGAUUGUUGGCCAAGCUGGCUGCAACUUCUGGGUGUUGAAGUCUAAAAUAUUUGGAGGAUCAACGUUUGGGAAUGGUUGAUGUAAAGGGAUGCCUUUUUAAAGAGCUGCGUAAUGAGACCAGUGACGGGGAACAUCUCAUGCUGAGUUGAUUUCGCAGUCAACUGAUCUCAUCCAUCACCUGAAUGACAGACGGAGAUGACUGAUGGGAAGAUUGUGCUUCUGAUGCAUACAUCCUGCUAUGGACAUGUAUGUAGGACAGUCAUCAUAACCAAAUCCCUGGAACUGAAUUGAACAAAUCCAAUUUUUGUUCCUGGGUUAUAACUGUAAUUUUCUAAUUGGUUCUAUCUUAAAAACAUUGGAAAAUUAUUAUUAUUAUUAUUAUUAUUAUUAUUAUUAUUAUUAUUAAACUUUAUUUAUAUUCCACCCUAUCUCCCCUGUAAAAACUUCGUAUUUGUGGAUCAUCUUGCAGCACAUUUUGCCCUAUUCUUCCAAUGAAUAUUUCAGGUUAUGGAUAUCUUUAAUAUGGUGCUUGUUGUAAUUUUUAAAUUUGUUUUAUUUGAUAUCUUAAUUGGAUUUUAAUCAGGAUAUGAUUUUUUAAUUGAUUAUGUAUUGCUGUUCAAUGUAUUUGCAUGGAUUUUAUAUGUUGUACGCCGCUUUGAAUCCCACCCACGGGAGAAAAGCGGGAUAGAAAUAAAAUAAUUAUAAUAAUAACAACAACAACAACAACAAUAAUAAUAACAAUAAUUGAGCCUCAACCCAUUCAACUUAAUUUGUGGCAUCCACAAACAUGAAACUUCUGGAGUAUAACAACUACUUUCAAAGUAAGCACCACACAAUUCAACAAGAAUAACACUUUCAAACCAGGAACAGAUUUUUUUUUUCAAAUUUUGUUACAUAGUGUUUUAAAUUUUCAUUGAUAUUAUUACUGUUAUAUUAACUCUUGUUUUUUUUGCCUUAUUGUGUUUUAUCUUUUGUAUAUUGUGUAAUGUAUUUAUGCUGAUCGGGCUUUGCCCCAUGUGAGCCGCCCCGAGUCCCCACGGGGAGAUGGUGGCGGAGUAUAAAUAAAGUUAUUAUUAUUAUUAUUAUUAUCA
Long non-coding RNA from Anolis carolinensis (green anole), 2677 nucleotides. RefSeq lists it as uncharacterized. The transcript is spliced from 6 exons. NCBI's taxonomy places the organism in Eukaryota, Metazoa, Chordata, Lepidosauria, Squamata, Anolidae. The record is from RefSeq and is a predicted model, not a curated record.